Carassius gibelio (silver crucian carp) is the source of this 2076-nucleotide long non-coding RNA. RefSeq lists it as uncharacterized. Lineage: Eukaryota; Metazoa; Chordata; Actinopteri; Cypriniformes; Cyprinidae. The transcript has 6 exons. The record is from RefSeq and is a predicted model, not a curated record.
CGUUAUAGUUUUAAAAAUAUUAAUAAACAGCAAAUCAACACAGAAAGACCUAAAUAAUAAUAAUACAUAAUUAAUAAACAGCGCCGCCCCUCCCACUACGCGCAUCACGCGCUGUGCGUCAACCCCAAAGCGUCAAAAACUGAAGCGUGGUCAAGCGCCUCUAGCGUCACUGACAUGAGAUGUUUAUCGCUUUGAAAUCACGUUCAAGAAGUCUCAUUCAGCACACAUCGCGAUACUUUCCAUCAGUUUGCAAGAGCCGCAGGUUGGGUGAGUUAUACAGUCUAUGGUGAGUAGUAGUAAAUAUGCUCUUUUAAUGCCUGUCCUAAAACGUAUUCUGUCUUCUUUAUUAAUCAGAUGAGCGCCUUAUGUUUAUGUAUUACAUCGGUCAUCCGAGGCUGUCUUUGAGUUUCAUUGUGUUUAACUAAAUGAACACAGCUGCUAACUGGUUAAACUCUAUCGGUCACGUGACGUGACGUGCCACAGACCUGGGAUCCGUUUUAUAUUCAUUUCAGGUUCAAAGAUCUGAAAAGACGUAAAGUAAGCAGUCACCCCAGUGGUGUUUGUGGAGAGGUAUUCCUUCAGAAAUGGAGAAGACAGAAAGCUGCAGAGGCAGGAUUGUUUGCAGAUAAUGCUGUUCUUCUUUUUCAGAAGUUUUUGGGGAGCCAACCCUCACAAACCUUCCUAAAAACUAAAAGAGCUAUUACUGAGUCUCAGCGACUCUUGCCACGAUCAGCUCUUCCCAGAAGAGAAGGAAGACCAAGGAAAUGAUUUGCUCAGGAUGAGGAAUGAAGAUGGUCAUCUUGUGCUCAAGCAAACAGAAGUCCUCUGAUGAUCUCAUCAACCAAAUGAGGGGUUUUGACCAAGUGAUGCUCUUGAAAGGAGUGAAAGAAGAGGAUGUGGUAAAUUGUCUUCAGAGAAAAAGCUUCUCAAAAGAUCUUAAAACAGCUUGAAUAAUGGUCUGGGAUCUUAGGACUGGGAGAUCUCACUUGCACCCAGUUAACCUCCAUAGAGAACAUUUAUCAGAAGCGCUGUCUGGGCAGGGCAAGAAACAUCAUCAAGGAUGGCUCUCACCCUAACCAUGGACCUUUCACCCUCCUUCCAUCCGGCAGGCAUUACAGGAGCCUACGCUCUCGAACUAGUAGACUCAGGAAGAGCUUCUUCCCCGAGGCUGUGACACUCCUGAACACCGCACCACCUAUCUAACCUGCACCUGCACUGGUCACAGUACUUUACAUACAUGUAUUGCACUACUCAUAUUUUGCACAGACUGCACAUGGUUAAAUCCAUUACACUAUAAACUGUCUAAAGCUGUUACUGUACAAGCACAGUAAACUAUUUCUACAAUAAAUAUAAUUGCACUACUAUUAUUUUGCAUAUAAUAAAUUGUUAAACUAUACUUUUGCACACUCAUUCAACUGUAUUUAUUACCACUGUUCUCAAGUUCCUGCUAUUCAUAAUGUAUAUAUAAUUCUUCUUUGCUCUGUUCAUAAUGUACAUACAAUCCCUACAUUACAUUCAUAUUUAUACUCUGUGUAUACUCUGAUCAAUAUUGUAUAUAGCAACUCCACUGUAAAUUCUGUAUAUCAUAGCUUUACUUACUCUGCACUUUUAUGUAUAUAAAACACUAUAUUCUGGGACUUCUGGUUAGAUGCUAACUGCAUUUCAUUAGCUCUGUACUUGUACUCUGCAUAAUGACAAUAAAGUUGAAUCUAAUCUAAUCUAAUCUAAUAUUCUGGCUGAGAACAAGCUACACCACAUCAGUGCUGGAUAUCAACCAAAAGCUGUUUCCAGACACGAGAGAAGAUCACGAUGAAACCAGUUUAGAUGUGUUGAUAAGGAAUCAUUAUUUUCUGAAACAGUAUCAAAUGUCUUAUAUGUAUCACAUGAUCUGUAUCACAGUUGACUGGAUGGGACUGUGACUUUUAAGGACAUUUCAUCACUCAUCUGUGUGAACUGAUUAAUAUAUGAGGUUAAUGUAUUUUUGAUUAUGAAUAAUUAUUUUCCUUGAAUCUUAUUUGUCUUGAUGCUACUUUAUCAUCUUUAUAGUCUAUGCUUCAAUAAAAUGAAUAUGACGAA